GAGACAGCAGCCGCCACGGUAAAACGAGGGGUGCGAGCGUUAUUCGGAUUGAUUGGGUGUAAAGGGUGUGCAGACGGCUUAUUAAGUCACUUGUUAAAUUCUUCGGCCUAACUGAAGGUCUGCAAGUGAUACUGAUGAGCUAGAGGGUGGAAGAGAGAAGUGGAAUUCUCGGAGUAGCGGUAAAAUGCGUAGAUCUCGAGAGGAACACCAAUGGCGAAGGCAGCUUCUUGGUCCAUUCUUGACGUUCAUACACGUAAGCGUGGGGAGCAAACAGGAUUAGAUACCCCUGUAGUCCCUGUCUCUUAUAC
RNAcentral lists this ribosomal RNA (308 nucleotides) under uncultured bacterium. Its description in RNAcentral is "partial 16S ribosomal RNA". It matches the Rfam family "Bacterial small subunit ribosomal RNA", at positions 505 to 807 of the family's 1533-position model. The record is from RNAcentral.